RNAcentral lists this ribosomal RNA (737 nucleotides) under Pseudomonas sp. RNAcentral's name for it is "bacterial SSU rRNA". It matches the Rfam family "Bacterial small subunit ribosomal RNA", at positions 28 to 754 of the family's 1533-position model. Lineage: Bacteria; Pseudomonadati; Pseudomonadota; Gammaproteobacteria; Pseudomonadales; Pseudomonadaceae. The record is from RNAcentral.
AUUGAACGCUAGCGGGAUGCUUUACACAUGCAAGUCGAACGGCAGCGCGAGAGAGCUUGCUCUCUUGGCGGCGAGUGGCGGACGGGUGAGUAAUAUAUCGGAACGUGCCCAGUAGCGGGGGAUAACUACUCGAAAGAGUGGCUAAUACCGCAUACGCCCUACGGGGGAAAGGGGGGGAUCGCAAGACCUCUCACUAUUGGAGCGGCCGAUAUCGGAUUAGCUAGUUGGUGGGGUAAAGGCUCACCAAGGCAACGAUCCGUAGCUGGUUUGAGAGGACGACCAGCCACACUGGGACUGAGACACGGCCCAGACUCCUACGGGAGGCAGCAGUGGGGAAUUUUGGACAAUGGGGGAAACCCUGAUCCAGCCAUCCCGCGUGUAUGAUGAAGGCCUUCGGGUUGUAAAGUACUUUUGGCAGAGAAGAAAAGGUAUCUCCUAAUACGAGGUGCUGCUGACGGUAUCUGCAGAAUAAGCACCGGCUAACUACGUGCCAGCAGCCGCGGUAAUACGUAGGGUGCAAGCGUUAAUCGGAAUUACUGGGCGUAAAGCGUGUGUAGGCGGUUCGGAAAGAAAGAUGUGAAAUCCCAGGGCUCAACCUUGGAACUGCAUUUUUAACUGCCGAGCUAGAGUAUGUCAGAGGGGGGUAGAAUUCCACGUGUAGCAGUGAAAUGCGUAGAUAUGUGGAGGAAUACCGAUGGCGAAGGCAGCCCCCUGGGAUAAUACUGACGCUCAGACAC